Molecule: non-coding RNA, 70 nt
Organism: Podarcis lilfordi (Lilford's wall lizard)
Lineage: Eukaryota; Metazoa; Chordata; Lepidosauria; Squamata; Lacertidae
Source: the annotation of a GenBank genome assembly
GGUUGUAGCUCGGUGCCAGAGCACUUGCUUUGCAUCCAGAAGGUUCCAGGUUCAAUCCCUGGCGUCACCA